RNAcentral lists this ribosomal RNA (430 nucleotides) under uncultured bacterium. Its description in RNAcentral is "bacterial SSU rRNA". It matches the Rfam family "Bacterial small subunit ribosomal RNA", at positions 355 to 777 of the family's 1533-position model. The record is from RNAcentral.
UUAGGAAUAUUCGUCAAUGGGGGAAACCCUGAACGAGCAAUGCCGCGUGAAGGAUGACGGUCCUCUGGAUUGUAAACUUCUGUUGUUAGGGAAGAACGACCUAGGUAGGAAAUGACCUAGGAGUGACGGUACCUUUCAAGAAAGCUCCGGCUAACUACGUGCCAGCAGCCGCGGUAAUACGUAGGGAGCGAGCGUUAUCCGGAUUUAUUGGGUGUAAAGGGUGCGUAGGCGGUUUCUUAAGUCUGUAGUCUAAGCCCGGAGCUUAACUCCGGUUCGCUACAGAAACUGAGUUACUUGAGUAUGGUAGAGGCAAGUGGAAUUUCUAGUGUAGCGGUUAAAUGCGUAGAUAUUAGAAGGAACACCGGUGGCGAAGGCGACUUGCUGGGCCAUCACUGACGCUGAGGCACGAAAGCGUGGGGAGCAAAUAGGA